This 405-nucleotide ribosomal RNA is filed under the name uncultured bacterium. RNAcentral describes it as "partial 16S ribosomal RNA". It matches the Rfam family "Bacterial small subunit ribosomal RNA", at positions 28 to 526 of the family's 1533-position model. The record is from RNAcentral.
GAUGAACGCUGGCGGCGUGCCUAAUACAUGCAAGUCGAGCGAAGCGGGGACGGGUGAGUAACACGUGGAUAACCCCCUAUAAGACUGGGAGAACUUCGGGAAACCGGAGCUAAACCCGACACUUAUAGAUGGAUCUCCGCUGCAUUAGCUAGUUGGUAAGGUAACGGCUUACCAGGUCAACGAUGAAUAGCAGACCUGCGAGGGUUAUCGGCCACACUGGAACUGAGACACGGUCCAGCCUCCUACGGGAGGCAGCAGUGGGGAAUCUUCCGCAAUGGGCGAAAGCCUGACGGAGCAACGCCGCGUGAGUGAUGAGGGUCUUCGGGUCGUAAACCUCUGUUAUUAGGGAAGCGUUACCUGAUCAGAAAGCCACGGCUAACUACGUGCCAGCAGCCGCGGUAAUUC